This 1263-nucleotide ribosomal RNA is filed under the name Triticum aestivum (bread wheat). Its description in RNAcentral is "partial small subunit ribosomal RNA". Lineage: Eukaryota; Viridiplantae; Streptophyta; Magnoliopsida; Poales; Poaceae. The record is from RNAcentral.
AUGAGGCUCAAGCAUCGCAACAUCAUCCAGUUAGUUGGCUUCUGCUACGAAACACGACAUAAGCCAAUGCUGCACAAUGGAGAAACCAUUUUUGCUGAAGAUAUAUACAAAGCGCUCUGCUUUGAGUAUAUGCAAAAUGGGAACCUUAAAGAGCAUAUUUCUGUGGAAUGUGAUGGACUCGAAUGGCACACGCGCUACAAAAUUAUCAAGGGAACUUGCGAAGGAUUAAAAUACCUCCACGAAGAAUUCAAAGAACCAAUUUACCACUUGGACCUAAAACCUGAAAACAUACUGCUAGAUGAGAAUAUGGUACCGAAACUUGCUGAUUUUGGUUCGUCGAAGCUCUUUGGCAAAGACCUAACCAUGGUUAUCUCACAGAAUCUUUCAGCAACAAUUGGGUAUGUGCCGCCCGAAUACUAUUCUCAUCAGGUCGUCUCGAAGAAGUUUGACAUAUUCAGUUUAGGUGUUGUAAUGAUAAAGAUAAUUGCAGGUCCUAGAGGCAAUUCCUUAAGUGCCGAGAUGGAGUACCAAGACUUUCUUGAUCAAGUACAUGAAAACUGGAGGAAAAGGUUCCAGGAAAAAUGGCAUAAUUCCAAACUACUACAAGCAUAUUGCCAACAAGUGAACAUAUGCAUAAUAAUAGCACUGAGCUGCAUGGAUUAUGAUAGGUUCAAAAGACCCGGUAUACUGGAUAUCAUCAAACAACUGAACAAGACUGAAACUGUAAUCAAAGAGUUGCACCAGGAUCACCGAUGGACAAGGAUAUCAGAUGCAAAUAGAACACCGGCCAUUGAUUCUCAGAAACAAAGUCUUGCACUAGAAGAAGUGCGCUUUCUCGUAAAUAAUCUGACUUUGGAGAAUAACAGAUCGUGUGAACCCUCAGUUUCUGCAAGAAAAAAAUUUCACCCUAACAUUUUGGAUCUUCCAAGUGAUCAAAGGACAUCCUACCGUGGCCGAAAAUCGACAAAAAUUUUGUUCCCUACACAGCUGCCGAACUCUCCCCCUAGUUCAAGAGGCAAACACUGUCCGACGUCACAUGUGCAUUCAAGAGCAUUUGGGCAAUGCCCAGGAUCCCCUACUGCAUGGCAGGAUGAUGCACGGAGCUUAAGCUCACCACACCCACUUCCUCUUCCUCUUCCUCUUCCUCCAGGCUUCCCUUGCACAUCUUCCUGUUCCCUACAUUCGCAGUGGAAGAAGGGGAAGUUAUUAGGCAGUGGUACAUUUGGGCAAGUAUACCUCGGAUUGAACAGGUGCACAGUCUGA